Long non-coding RNA from Austrofundulus limnaeus, 176 nucleotides. RefSeq lists it as uncharacterized. The record is from RefSeq and is a predicted model, not a curated record. The transcript has 2 exons. Lineage: Eukaryota; Metazoa; Chordata; Actinopteri; Cyprinodontiformes; Rivulidae.
UCAGUUAAACAAAAGUUUUAGUGUAUGUACUUUUUCUUUUCUUCUGUUUGUAGGAUCCUGUUUACCAAUUGAUGUGCCAUAUGAAAGAGUUGACCUGCAAGAUGUUAUGUCACAAAAUGUGGCUCUAGGAAAUGUCAUGGAAUUUCUCCAGUCAAAGGAUACCAGGAUUAACCUGC